This 8737-nucleotide long non-coding RNA is filed under the name Nicotiana benthamiana. RNAcentral describes it as "long non-coding RNA (NBEN_LNC026698)". The record is from RNAcentral. Lineage: Eukaryota; Viridiplantae; Streptophyta; Magnoliopsida; Solanales; Solanaceae.
CUCAAACCAGCCUCCACGAACGUCGUAUCUAACCAAAAUCAGAGCGAAUACAUCACAAUAUGCUAAGAGAACAAUACCUAAUAAAAAACAAUCGAAAAAUAGCAAAAAUCUCGAAACUAGCAAAAUUUGAGCCCCGUGCCCGCUUUCCGAAAAAUUACGAAAUUUACAUUACCAGAUUCUUCGUCUCGCCACGAGUUCAUACAUACCAAGAGCUCCCAAUUCCGAGCUCAAAUGACCUAUCAAAUCCUAAUUUUGAAAUAUCAAGAACUCAAGCGCACCUCCAAUCGUUUCUCCUUGAAUCCCUCUUCAAUUUCCUUCAAAAAGCUCCCAAAAAGGUCGACAAUGGGGAAAAAUGACCCAAGAUCGCGGAAUCAAAUGACACUAUAAAAUCCCUUUCCUGUCCAGCCCUUGUCGCAUCUGCAAUCACAGAACCGCUUCUGCGGACUCCCAAUUAAGGGGUAUGACCUCUUCUGCUGCCCAAAACUCGCACUCGCUCCUGCCGUCAAUACUUCUGCUUCUGCAGAGCCCUACCUGAGCUCGACUUCCACUUCUGUGCCUAUUCGUCCGCUUCCGCGAUACCGCACCUGCGUUUUCAAAACCGCAGGUGAGAAAACACCAAACACCAGCAACCUAAAAACAUGCAACAACUCCAAAACUCUCCGUUUAACUACCUGAACUAACCCCGAGGCCCUCGGGUCCUCAAUCAAACAUGCCAACAUAUUCCAUAACAUCACUCAAACUCGUUCCAAUCAUUACAACACUAAAAUCAUCAAUUCUCAUCGUAUUCAAGUCUAAGUUCUUUAAAAUCAUCCGAAACAUGCAUUCGAUCAAAAACUCAACCAAACGACGUCCGAAUGAUCUGAAAUUUUGCACACACAUCAAAAAUCACAUAUCGAAGAUACAACAACUCUCAGAAUUCCAUUCCGACCCUCGAAUCAAAAUCUCACCUAUCAACUGGAAUUUGCCAAAAUACUAACUUCUCAAAUUCAAGCCUAAUUUUGUACCGGACCUCCAAAAUGAAUUCCAAUCACGCUCCUAAGUCAAAAAUAACCCCCCUCCCCCUCCCCCUGAAGCUAACUGAAUCGCCGAAAAUCACAUCCGAACCUUCUAACUGAUAAGUCAACGUCCUGUUGACUUUUACAAAACAAGCAUUCCUUAAAGAGACUAAGUGUCCCAUUUUCUACCAAAUCCAAUCCAACUCAAUUCUAACACACCAACAUUGAGAAUGAAAUAUGAAGAAGCAUAAAACGAGAAAAAUAGAGCAGUAACUCAUAAGACGAUUGGUCAGGUCGUCACAUUUGACAAAGUUUCUUCUCCUACUGAUAAAACUUACAAGUUUAGUAUAUUUUACUUAAUAGGAGAAGUCGGAAUUCUUUCUUUUUUUGGUCUUGAUAUCAAUAAGGAUUAUGCUUUUGACAACUAAUCUGAGCCGCGCUUGUAUCAUUGGUAUAAACUUUGUAAUAUCUAUGUGUAGUUCGCUUCUACUUCUUUCACCAUCGUGUGGAGAUCUUAAAGCAUCUAUAAAGAUAAAAUGUUCUCCAACAUUUAUAGUUAUUUUGCACUCCAAGUGCUCUAAGGUUUUGAUUUAAAUUAAUUUUUGGUGUACAUAGUUUGGUAUAUCUGUUACUCCUAUUAUAUAACAAAAAUAGUGACUUCACUAAAAUGAAGAUUGUGGGCAUAUGAUCUUCAGGUUUGUUCUUGAAGUAGAGACAGUAAAUGCAAAAUUUUAGUAUAUGUUUAUAGCCGUUAAAGCAUUUUUAUCAACUUCCAAGAUAAUCUUUUCUUUCAAAAUAUGGUUAGAAGUGCAUGUUGUUACUUUGUUAUUACUUAGUAUUUGGGAUGAACCUCGGUGUCCAUGCCUCUUUCAAAUUGUGUUUUAUUACUUAAUUUGUACACGAAAGUUUUUUUAGAUUUUUUACAUAGAGAAAUGAAAUUUUCAAUUAUUAGGAACGGUUAUGUUUCAUUAUGUAAUCCAUAAAAUAAUAUGAGUGCGUAGAAUAAAGUUAAACGAACUUGGAGCAAGUAGGAGAGACCAAGAUAAAUCUCACUAAAAUACAAUAAGUUGAAAAUGUAUCUAAGCAACACAAAUAAAAUUAUUAUCAAAAACUGAAACUUGCACACUUAAUUGCCUUGAUUUGUUACAUAUACAAAUUAAAAGAUGAUUUAAAUUAUUUAUUGUACAAAAAUAGUCUAUUAUCUUAAGAUAUAAUUUUAAAAAUAGUUGUAAGGAUUACAUGUGUGAGGCACAUGAUAUAGAGACUAUUAUACUAUAUUAAAAGCACGAAGGCCCUUAACGAAAUGUCGUUCGCCUUUUUUACCUUUAAAAAUAAGUUUUUACAUCGGAUAAAAUCGUAAUUAAAUUAUUAUCCUAAUAUUUAGGUGUGACGAUCCGGCCCAUCAUCACGUGAGUUACCUUCCCGUUUCCCUUAUUUUAUGCUUUUCCAUGUUUCGUUAUCGGUAUUCGGUGUGUUGGAGUUAAAUCGGAUUGGUUUUGAUAAGAAAUGAGACACUUAGUCUCUUUAAGGAAGAUUUAUUUUGGAAAAGUCAACCAGAUGUUGACUUAUGAGUUAGAGAGCUCUGAAGUGAUUUCCGGUGAUUUGGUUAGCUUUGAGGGAUGAUUUGAGACUUAGGAGUGUGAUCGGAAGUGGUUUUGGAAGACCGGUGUAGGAAUAUGCUUGAAUUGGCCAAGUUAGUGUUUUGGUGAUUUUCGUUCGAUAGGUGACAUUUUGAUCCGAGGGUCGGAAUGAAAUUCUGAGAGUUGCAGUAGCUUCGUUAGGUGAUUUGGGAUGUGUGUGAAAACUUUCAAACAAUUCGGAGGUAAUUUGGUCGAGUUUUUGAUCGAUUAGAAUAAUUUAGUCUUGAAUCCAAUGUAAUGUGAUAGUUUUGGUGUUGGUGGUGGUGUUUUUAUGAUUGGAGCGAGUUUAAAUGAUAUAUUUGAAUUGGUUGGAACUGUUGGUUGAGGUCUCGGGGGCCUUGGGGUAUUUCGGAUGGCCAGCGGGGCUAAUUUUGGACUUGGGAGAUUGCUGCUAUAUCUGAUAUCUGGUAUUUCUGCAUCUACGGAAAAGGGACUACAGAAGCAGUUCCGUAGAUGCGGUAAGGGAGGUGCAGAAGCAUCAUUUGGGCUCAGGGUAGGUUCCGCAUAAGCAAAAGCCCGAACCGCAGAAGCAGUCUCGCUGGUGCGAUUUUAGGACCGCAGAAGCGGUCAUGGCCUUAAGUGAAAAUCCGAUGAAGCGGAUAUGGAGCGCGGGAGCGGUGGCCACAGAAGCGAGAUGGGCACAGCAUAUGCGGUUUUGCCUGGGCAGUUAAAUGAAAUAUUCAUCUUCGCGAAUUUUUGAAAGAACUCAAUAUUUUCACUUCAGACUUGGAGGCUUUUGUAUGAUUUUGGAGGUGGAAUCAAGGUACUUCAUUGAGGUAAGGAAUUCUGAGCCUAAAACAUGAAUCUAAUGUGUUAAUACAUGAACUAAGGGUGAAAAAUCAAGAUCAAAAGUGGAGGUUAGGGCUUGAACUUAAGAUAAGAAAGAAUGGGGAUUUGAGGGGCUAAUAGAACUCCGAUUCUGGUAAUUUUUACAUGAAUAGACUCUUGGCGAGAUAAUAAAUCCAAUGAUGUUAAAUUUUCCGACUUUCGAGAAGUGGGACCGGGGCUCGGGUUUUGCUAUUUCGUGAAUUUUGAUAUUUUUCGAGUCCUUUCGAUUGGGUUGUGUUCCCUUAGCCUAUUGUAACAUAUUCGUUGUGAAUUAAGGGUAAUAAAUUAAGGAAUUUUGGAUAAAAAAUGGACGUUAGGGCUUGAACUUAAGAGAAGGAAGAAUGGGGAUUUGUGGGGUCAAAUGGACUCCGAUUUUGAUGAUUUUCAUAUGUAUAGACUCGUGGAGAGAUAAGGAAUCCGAUGAUAUUAAUUUUUUUGACUUUUGAGAAGUGGGCCUAGGGAUCGAGUUUUACAAAUUUCGUGAAUUUCGAUAUUUUUCGAGUCUUUUCGAUUGAGUUAUGUUCCCUUAGGCUAUUGUAAUGUAUUCAUUAUGGUUUUGGCAAGAUUCAACACGCGAGGAGAUUGAUUCGAGAGGAAAGAGCAUAUCGAGCUGGACUUUUGGCCGGCUAGAGGUGAGUAAUAAUUUUAAAUGAUGUCCUGAGGGUUUGAAAACUCGGAUUUGCACAAUGUUGUGCUAUGUUGAGAUGAGACACAUGAUGUAUGAUGAGCGCGGGGUCAUUUACUAUUGGGGAUUGUGACUUGGUCCAUCCCGAUUUAUAUUUUACUAUAUAUUCGCUAAAGAGUUGUUGUUUUCCACUAUGACUUGGGCUUAUCGCCAUGCUUGGGCUUCGUGCCAACUAUUUGAAAUGAUUUUUGAACUCCCAUCACAGUUUCCUCACCAUCUGAAAUAUUAUUUGAACUCAGUCCUACUUGAAUUAUACUAUUUCAUGAACUCAGCUAUAUUUUUACUCAACUUGAGAUUUAAAAUGAUAUUUGAACUAUGUUCGAGCUGAGCACUAUUGUUUUACUGUUGCCCAAGGGGCUUAUGACUAUUUUCUGGAUUGAUUGAGGCCGAGUGUAAGACCCUGUGAAAAUGAGUGCUCAAGUCCUAGCAACUCAUAGAGUCAGGUCCACCUAUGUGUUGGGACCAUUUUCUACUGAUUUUAUACUCACAAAUCCAGAGUCAAUUUUUUCCAAAAAAAUUUCAUUUCUGCGGUCAAGAAUGCGAUCGCAGAUCAGGUAUGCGGACCGCAUCUCGACCGCAAAGUUAAUCAGAGAGUAGUCGAAUUAGAUGCUGGAAAUGCGGUCCAUUAUGCGAUCGCAUAACCAAUAUGCGGACCGCAUAGUCGUCGCAUAAAGUUUUCGAGGAUUUGAAGAGGUCAAUUCUGCAGUGCACAAUGCGACCGCAGAACAAGUAUGCGGACCGCAUUCUCAAGCAUACCCAAGCAGAGAGGCCAACAAUUUGACCAUUCUGCGGUCUAAUAUGCGGACCGCAUGUCAACUUUCCGAUCGCAGAGUUGACCGCAGAUCCUGCACGAGCUUCAGUUUUCUAAUGUUUUUAAACUCGACCCCUUUUCUAAUAAACCACCCCAACCUCUCAUUUUUACAUAUUUUCUGAACAAAACAAGAGAGAGGGAAGGGAGAGUUCUUGAGAGAGAAAAGAUUCUUCAUCAAAUUGAUCCUCCAAAACUAUCCGGGCCAGGAAAUUUUAAGUUAUUGUCUUCAUCUUCACGCUUACAGGUAAAAUCACUUAGCCUUUUCUCCAAUUUUUCAGAUUUAAGCUAAGGGAGGGAGUCUUAUGCAUUGAUUUUGAACUAAUAAUUGAAAACCCUCAUGCAUGCCACUCAAAACCUAAAAUCUAGUAAAGGGAAAUUGGGUAGAAGUAGAGAACUGUGCUUGAUAGCCCAAAAUACCGGUUAGUAAUUGUGAACUUCAAUUCUAAGGUGCAUGUGUUAAUUUGUGAAUUACAUUGACGUACGCUUACAGGUAAAAUCACUUAGCCUUUUCUCCAAUUUUUCAGAUUUAAGCUAAGGGAGGGAGUCUUAUGCAUUGAUUUUGAACUAAUAAUUGAAAACCCUCAUGCAUGCCACUCAAAACCUAAAAUCUAGUAAAGGGAAAUUGGGUAGAAGUAGAGAACUGUGCUUGAUAGCCUAAAAUAAGCCGAUAGUAAUAGUGAACUUUGAUUCUAAGGUGCAUGUGUUAAUUUGUGAAUUAGAUUGACGUGGCUAGAUAUCUUGGUGACUGAGAAUUGGAACUUAAAAGGGGAAUUCGACUCCAGGUAUGUAUGGCUAGCCUUGAUCCUUGUGAAAUAACCUUGCUUGGUAUGUGAAUUGUUUGGUAGCUGAUAUCUAUGUGGGUUAGUUGUGAGCUUCUUGUGACUGCUAUGAUUGUGAAUGCAUCUCGAGGUAAAAGUCAAAGAAUAAGUGAUUGAAGGGAUCUGUAAAGGGUGAAAUAACAUUAUAUGUAAUAACAAUGUACUUGAAAUAUUGUGGGCAUUUUGUGGUAACUUGAAUUGAGUACGAACUAUUGUAAGUAAUGAAAUUGGUGCUAAUAGUUAUGGUAACACUUGUAACCUUAUUGUGGUGAUGUCUUGAGGAAUAUUGUUGUUUAUCCUUGUGAUUUGUUGUUUGGUUGUGAUUAUUGUGAAUUGAAACUGUACGGACGGGUCGGGUUACAUGCUGCAACACGGUGUUAUGAGGUGUGGGUUGUGUUGAUAUGGGUGGCCGAGGUAAUAAGGGUGGAAAAGUGAUUGAAAUCACUAUUGAAAUAAACACUUGAACAAUUUUGUGAAAUUAUUGAAUGUGGAAUUGUGAAAGGAGACAGCAGGAGAGUUUGUAACUUGUGCGGCAAUGACUGCCCCUUUGUUUGACUUAAUUGUACCUUCUAUGUGUGUUUGGUUGCUACUUCCAUUGCUGCUUUUUACUUUCGUAUGGCUUGAGUUUACUUGGGACAAGUUUUGUUCAUAUAUGCCAGUAAAAUUCAAAUGUGCUGACGUCCUUUUUGUUGGGGACGCUAUAUUCGUGUUAUGAUUGUAGGUGGAUCUAUAGCAGGUACUCGGGUCCACCGUCCGUAGCUCUUUCUCAUUCCUGUCAGCUGUAUCGGUGAGCCACUUUCUCUUUCGGGGCCCUGCAUGGCUUAUGCGCCCCUUUCCUUGUAUUUUUGGGAUCUUAUUUUAGUAUGUGUAAAAAUGUAUAGCCGGUAACUUGUAACCGGCAAGUAUUGUACUGUCAUCUUUUAUCCUUAGAGGCUCCGUAGAAAUGAAGUGUGGGCCAUGAACCAUGUAGUGUGUACGAUGUAUUUUGGGCAUUGUAAAUUGUAAACCACGCUAAUAUCACUUAUGUUAUGUAUGUUCUGUUAAAAGAAGUUUCAAUUAUAAAAGCUGUUUCCACUCGGAUAGUAAGUAAUGAGAAAGGUGGGGUAACUCGUGGGUCAGGAAAGGCACCCAGGUCCACUCGACUAGGGAUACCCGGUCGAGUACCGGUCAUGUGCCUCGGAUUUGGGGCAUGACAAUCUUGGUAUCAAAGCCUAAGGUUUAAAAAGAGUCCUAGGUGUCUCAGAGCCUUGCCCAGUAUCACACCCCUUUUUUAGCAGAACCUCUACUAAAUCCUCUUAAAUAAAAAAAAGAUUUAAUUAAAUCUUGAAAAUGGGUUUUCAAUUGAAAAGUGACAAAGAUUGUAUUCAAAAGGAAAACUCAAAGUCACCACCUGAUAUUUGAUUUUGGUGUGUUAGAUCACCAUUUUUUCUAAAAGUAAUAAUUUUCCUUUCAAAAUACUUUGAACUCUAAAACUAAGUCUACAGCAGAGAUUCGGGUAAGGGGUUCAUUUGACUCGGGGAGAAGGUGUUUGGCACUCCCCAAGUCCCGCAAGAUCACGGUUGCAUACUCGAUCUAGUUGGCUUUUAAAACAUUCAAAUUGAGGUAAAAUCAUAGAAAAGCAAAGUAAACACACAUGAAGCUCGAGAUCAUCCCCACCUAAUAAAACAAAAUGAAAUAAGUCUAGCUAGCCUAUACUACGCCUCCAUUGAUGGUGCCGCAACCUCCAUUUACAUUUAAUUUGAGGCAUUCCCCUGUUUAAAAAUAUAUACAAGUCUUUCGGGGCAUUUUCCGAACAAAUUUAACUAAUCAAAGGGACAACCUCGACCUCCAACAAAAUAAAAAUAAAAGAAAAAACAACCUAAAGCUUGCAUACCCGAGCGUUUUCUUAGCGAUCAAAGCAGUAAAAUAAAAUAAUGAACUAUCUUAGGGUCUAACUUAUUUUUUUUAGUAACGUCACCUCCCAUAUCCCAAGUCAGAUAAUUCACAUGAGCCAAACAAUAAGGAACAAAUUAUUCAAAACAUAUAAAUAAUAAGAGAUCUAACAGAUAACUAUUCUAGUAUGUGACUAAUACGUAACUAGUGGAGAAAUACAUAACUACUAUUCAAAAACAAAAAUAACAUUGUAAACAAAGGAUAGAGGGAGAAGAAAGAACCUCAACGAGCCAACUUAUUUUGAUUUCCAAAAGUAAAUUCAAGCAGACUUGCGACGAACUCUGAAGUAAAUGAUUGUAACGCAGCUGCAAGAACCGCAACUCGGACCGAAACCUCAAACAUUAACCCGAACAGCCGCCAUGGAUUACUUGAGAUGAACUCGACUCGCUGAGACUCCACAAUUUGAUAUCCAAAAAAUGGGACUACCGUAUUUUUAAGUUUUCUGAUUUUGAAGUUUCAAGGAAAUUAAAAGAAUUUGCCAUUUUUUAAACGUGAAAAGACUCGAAUUUGCCCAAGUUUUAUCCAAAAAAUGUUCUGUCCAAACAGUUCUGCUCGUCUCCUUCUGUUUCCAUCUGAGACUUUCUAGCUUCUUUUGCUUGCAUUUUUAUUUAUGUUCGUGCGUGUGUGUGCAGUGGGGUGCGUCAAUGGCUGACGAGGGGUGUGGAGUUGGGCGCUGGUGGGCUGUUUCAGGUGAAAAAGCUACCGCUGGUUGUUCUGUUGCCGCUGUCCGGCGUCACAGAGGUUCAGAAGAUGGUUAUGGAGUUCCGGCGGGUUUUGGGCGUGGAGGAGGCGGCGGUGAGCUGUGGGUUCAGGGGUGUUCUGGUGUGAGUUUUUGAAGAAGGGUUAGCUAUUGUGUUUAGUGAGGAAGAUGAAGGAUGUUGAUGUGGGAGGUGAUGGGCGGUAGUUGGUGUUGCGUUUUCCGACGAGUUGUGUUUGGUGGUCUUAGGGGUGGCGGCGGCUGGUCUCUUUUUCUUAGGGUUCUGCUCACUCAUUUUCUCUCCUCUCAUUAGGGAUUAGGUCUUUUUUUA